GGAGAUCCUGCCGCCCCCGCGCACCUCGGCGGCGCUGCAGCAGGUGCUGCUGGCCAGCAGCCCUCGCUCCAGAGCGCACAUUCCCAGGAACCUGGUGCAGAUGCAAGCGAUGCCGCAACCACGCCCGCAUCGACGCCCCCACGAUCAGAGGGCAGCACUGUGUCCGGACUACCAGCAGCCCUCCGAUCUCUACAACCCUGUCUACAACGAGAUCUCCAACAGUUCGGACGAGUACCUGCCUUCCGACCGGGGAGACGACGACGAGCGCGACGGCGGUGACAGCGGCAGCGACAGCGGCAGCGGCAGCUCGGAGGGCG
Long non-coding RNA from Schistocerca piceifrons (Central American locust), 317 nucleotides. RefSeq lists it as uncharacterized. The record is from RefSeq and is a predicted model, not a curated record. Lineage: Eukaryota; Metazoa; Arthropoda; Insecta; Orthoptera; Acrididae. The transcript is spliced from 3 exons.